AGAACUUAGCAGAGAUGCUUUGGUGCCUUCGGGGAAACUCUGAGACAGGUGCUGCAUGGCUGUCGUCAGCUCGUGUUGUGAAAUGUUGGGUUAAGUCCCGCAACGAGCGCAACCCUUAUCCUUUGUUGCCAGCGGUCCGGCCGGGAACUCAAAGGAGACUGCCAGUGAUAAACUGGAGGAAGGUGGGGAUGACGUCAAGUCAUCAUGGCCCUUACGAGUAGGGCUACACACGUGCUACAAUGGCGCAUACAAAGAGAAGCGACCUCGCGAGAGCAAGCGGACCUCAUAAAGUGCGUCGUAGUCCGGAUUGGAGUCUGCAACUCGACUCCAUGAAGUCGGAAUCGCUAGUAAUCGUGGAUCAGAAUGCCACGGUGAAUACGUUCCCGGGCCUUGUACACACCGCCCGUCACACCAUGGGAGUGGGUUGCAAAAGAAGUAGGUAGCUUAACCUUCGGGAGGGCGCUUACCACUUUGUGAUUCAUGACUGGGGUGAAGUCGUAACAAGGUAAGCGUAGUGCU
This 519-nucleotide ribosomal RNA is filed under the name uncultured bacterium. Its description in RNAcentral is "bacterial SSU rRNA". It matches the Rfam family "Bacterial small subunit ribosomal RNA", at positions 992 to 1509 of the family's 1533-position model. The record is from RNAcentral.